AUUAAAAUUUACAAAAAGGUGAAGUUUUUUAAUGAGCUUACAUGCAAGUCAAGGUUUCCGCCGUCUGUAUAUAAAAAAGGGAUUGGAAUAGGGUCAGCACUGUGAAGUGUCUCCAAUACUAAGCAAACAUGAAAUACAUCAUCGUUAUCUUGAUCGCCUUCGCACUCUUCCACAAUGCGAUAGCUCAAGAAUCUUGUGAUCCCGGUAGUCAAGGACCCGGAUGCGAGUGCAGUCGAGGUGAACCCUUCUGGACCGAAACCGACGCUGGUUGCGAGUUUAGAUGCAAGGACGGAGAUAAUCUCCACGAAUGUGGGGAUACCACGGCGUAGGUGCUAAGACAAGUUUUUCAAGGUGUGCUGCUGGUGUAUUUUAGUGAUUUGGUGUGAAGUCUGUUUAGAAUAAAGGGUACCUUACAUUGA
Molecule: long non-coding RNA, 419 nt
Organism: Photinus pyralis (common eastern firefly)
Lineage: Eukaryota; Metazoa; Arthropoda; Insecta; Coleoptera; Lampyridae
Exons: 2
Source: RefSeq, a predicted model, not a curated record